UCCCCGGAAGCUAAUAUAUUAUGAGCGUUGAUUUUGUAAAUCAAAAAAGUACUUUUUUACCUGGGGAU
RNAcentral lists this transfer RNA (68 nucleotides) under Eleutherocaulis alte. Its description in RNAcentral is "Laevicaulis alte tRNA-Thr". Lineage: Eukaryota; Metazoa; Mollusca; Gastropoda; Systellommatophora; Veronicellidae. The record is from RNAcentral.